This 731-nucleotide ribosomal RNA is filed under the name uncultured bacterium. RNAcentral describes it as "bacterial SSU rRNA". It matches the Rfam family "Bacterial small subunit ribosomal RNA", at positions 773 to 1502 of the family's 1533-position model. The record is from RNAcentral.
CAGGAUUAGAUACCCUGGUAGUCCACGCCGUAAACGAUGUCGACUUGGAGGUUGUGCCCUUGAGGCGUGGCUUCCGGAGCUAACGCGUUAAGUCGACCGCCUGGGGAGUACGGCCGCAAGGUUAAAACUCAAAUGAAUUGACGGGGGCCCGCACAAGCGGUGGAGCAUGUGGUUUAAUUCGAUGCAACGCGAAGAACCUUACCUGGUCUUGACAUCCACAGAACUUUCCAGAGAUGGAUUGGUGCCUUCGGGAACUGUGAGACAGGUGCUGCAUGGCUGUCGUCAGCUCGUGUUGUGAAAUGUUGGGUUAAGUCCCGCAACGAGCGCAACCCUUAUCCUUUGUUGCCAGCGGUCCGGCCGGGAACUCAAAGGAGACUGCCAGUGAUAAACUGGAGGAAGGUGGGGAUGACGUCAAGUCAUCAUGGCCCUUACGACCAGGGCUACACACGUGCUACAAUGGCGCAUACAAAGAGAAGCGACCUCGCGAGAGCAAGCGGACCUCAUAAAGUGCGUCGUAGUCCGGAUUGGAGUCUGCAACUCGACUCCAUGAAGUCGGAAUCGCUAGUAAUCGUGGAUCAGAAUGCCACGGUGAAUACGUUCCCGGGCCUUGUACACACCGCCCGUCACACCAUGGGGAGUGGGUUGCAAAAGAAGUAGGUAGCUUAACCUUCGGGAGGGCGCUUACCACUUUGUGAUUCAUGACUGGGGGUGAAGUCGUAACAAGGUAACCA